RNAcentral lists this long non-coding RNA (480 nucleotides) under Nicotiana benthamiana. RNAcentral's name for it is "long non-coding RNA (NBEN_LNC040578)". The record is from RNAcentral. Lineage: Eukaryota; Viridiplantae; Streptophyta; Magnoliopsida; Solanales; Solanaceae.
CAACAGGUUAAUAGAGUUCCUAAGUAACAGCCAAACAAGGCCAGGAAAAGAAACAGAGAAUGAGUGGAAAAAUAAAUAGAAAGAGAAAGCAGAGUAACAGCCAACCAAGGCCAAGAAAAGAAACAGAGAAUGAGUGGAAAAAUAAAUAGAAAGAGAAAGCAGAGAGGGAAAGAAACAAAGCCAUAAAAUUUGAUAUUUACGUCGCCUCCUCCAAGGAAUAUAUUCGUAGCUCAUACAUAACCCGAUGGGCUGCAAUAGGAUGUCUGGUAGGUGAAGUUGCAGCACCCAUGGCAUCAUGGUGAAGUUGUCCUUGAAAACCAGGUUCAGCUUCCAUGUUAGGCAGAAUACAUGCAACACAAGCUGCUAAAAUUGAAAACCAGGAUCAGCUUCCAUGUUAGGCAGAAUACAUGCAACACAAGCGGCUAAAAACCUCCCACAUGGUGAAAAGUGGGCUCCCAUUUCACUGAAAUAGACAAUAUA